GGGGGAACCCUGAUCCAGCCAUGCCGCGUGUGUGAAGAAGGCCUUUUGGUUGUAAAGCACUUUAAGCGAGGAGGAGGCUACUGGUAUUAAUACUACCGGAUAGUGGACGUUACUCGCAGAAUAAGCACCGGCUAACUCUGUGCCAGCAGCCGCGGUAAUACAGAGGGUGCGAGCGUUAAUCGGAUUUACUGGGCGUAAAGCGUGCGUAGGCGGCUUUUUAAGUCGGAUGUGAAAUCCCUGAGCUUAACUUAGGAAUUGCAUUCGAUACUGGGAGGCUAGAGUAUGGGAGAGGAUGGUAGAAUUCCAGGUGUAGCGGUGAAAUGCGUAGAGAUCUGGAGGAAUACCGAUGGCGAAGGCAGCCAUCUGGCCUAAUACUGACGCUGAGGUACGAAAGCAUGGGGAGCAAACAGGAUUAGAUACCCUGGUAGUCCAUGCCGUAAACGAUGUCUACUAGCCGUUGGGGCCUUUGAGGCUUUAGUGGCGCAGCUAACGCGAUAAGUAGACCGCCUGGGGAGU
Molecule: ribosomal RNA, 516 nt
Filed under: uncultured bacterium
Lineage: Bacteria
Description: bacterial SSU rRNA
Rfam family: Bacterial small subunit ribosomal RNA
Source: RNAcentral